UCCCACAAAACUGCAUUGCGGUCCAAGCUUUCACUCAGCUUAAGAAUCAGCUCACUGUGAUUAAUGGGUCCAAGUCCACCUCUGUAGUUCUGCUCAACGGCCUCUUGGGGAAACCUGACACGAGACCUUGUGGCUCUGCUUACAGAUGAGCAGACUUCUCACAGCUGAAUUAUCAUCCGCUGGCCAAUGAAACACCUCCACUAAGCCGUGAUUCAGCAGGAAGAGACUCUCUGAGGAGAAGACGAUAACAUUGAGUCACCUUGCUGCAUUGUGAACCUCUGGCAGCCCAGAGGCAGGAUUCAGCAGCAGAGAAUCCACUGCAGAUCUGCACUGGACUGCACAGCAACUGCAUGUGUGUGUGUGUGUGUGUGUGUGUGUGUGUGUAUGUAUUUUCUGUGAGUAGAUUAGUAUGUACAAAUGAAGGUCUGUAUGGUGAAACGAUGAUAAAUCAUAACAAGGUCAAAUAACAGCAACUGAGUACAGCAACGACAUGAUUACGCUGCAGUAUACAAUGCAACAGUCCUGCUGCUACCCUUCAUGUCGCAGACGACUUGAGGGAUGGGCGACUAUUUUUGCAAAUGCAAAAAUGUAAUGCUGAUUAGUUCAGCUUCAGACUAAUUAAAAAAGUUUUUAGUUUAUGCAAAUCUUUUCUGUUCUUAAGUUGACCCACUGUAACAAUGCAGAGCACUGCAUGCAGAGCACUAAGAUGCAGUAAAUUUUCUCAUGCAAUCUGCUGCACUUAUGCGGUGCUGCUUUGACGUUGUGUCAUAUUAGGAACACAAUGUAUAAUUUAUAUAUGACUGAGAAGUAGAUUACAUGUGUAUCCUGUCUAUGGCAUGGUCUGGGAUUAUAGCUGGUAAAUAAAUUGAAAUGAACAAUAUAUCAGAAUUACAAUAUCA
Molecule: long non-coding RNA, 899 nt
Organism: Poecilia latipinna (sailfin molly)
Lineage: Eukaryota; Metazoa; Chordata; Actinopteri; Cyprinodontiformes; Poeciliidae
Exons: 2
Source: RefSeq, a predicted model, not a curated record